UUGAACCUAGAACAAAACAGACUAACAAAUCAUACCACUGUUUUAUACAUACAUUAAGAGCAAUGAAAUAUUCUCCUGAAUUUUCACUCCAAUGCCUUCAAUUCAUGGUUAUGGUUCUUUCGAUUUCGUUCACCUGCACCGCAGCCGGCCGACUAGACAUUCCGAGGCUUAGUCCGACAAGAGGAACACUCAUAGAAAAUCUCGAACUUCAAUCAUCUGCAGCAGUUUCAGAUGAUCUCCAAACCUUUUAUUAACCUCAAACACUUGAUCACUUCAACUACCAGCCUCAAAGCUACGCCACUUUUCAGCAAAGAUGCGUGAUGAAUUUCAAGCAUUGGGGUGGAGCAAACGACAGUGCCCCGAUUUUAGCCUAUCU
Molecule: long non-coding RNA, 376 nt
Organism: Hibiscus syriacus
Lineage: Eukaryota; Viridiplantae; Streptophyta; Magnoliopsida; Malvales; Malvaceae
Exons: 3
Source: RefSeq, a predicted model, not a curated record